UAAUCCUAGAAAGUUCUUCGUAGUCCGGAUUGGAGUCUGCAACUCGACUCCAUGAAGUCGGAAUCGCUAGUAAUCGCGAAUCAGCAUGUCGCGGUGAAUACGUUCUCGGGUCUUGUACACACCGCCCGUCACACCAUGGAAGUGGAUUGCACCAGAAGUAGAUAGUCUAACCUUCGGGAGGGCGUUUACCACGGUGUGUUUCAUGACUGGGGUGAAGUCGUAACAAGGUAGCCGUAGGGGAACCUGUGGCUGGAUCACCUCCUU
Molecule: ribosomal RNA, 264 nt
Filed under: uncultured SAR86 cluster bacterium
Lineage: Bacteria; Pseudomonadati; Pseudomonadota; Gammaproteobacteria
Description: partial 16S ribosomal RNA
Rfam family: Bacterial small subunit ribosomal RNA
Source: RNAcentral